Long non-coding RNA from Etheostoma cragini (Arkansas darter), 112 nucleotides. RefSeq lists it as uncharacterized. The transcript is spliced from 3 exons. NCBI's taxonomy places the organism in Eukaryota, Metazoa, Chordata, Actinopteri, Perciformes, Percidae. The record is from RefSeq and is a predicted model, not a curated record.
UUUACUGAUUGACAUGAACACUCAAGUUGGCUCCUUCAUGUUCAUGACAGGUGUCAUGUCAUAAUAAUGACUGUGUUAUGUCAGUCUUAUGCACACCCCUUCAAAUAAAGUG